AUGAACGCUGGCGGCGUGCCUCAUACAUGCCAGUCGAGCGAACAGACGAGGAGCUUGCUCCUCUGACGUUAGCGGCGGACGGGUGAGUAACACGUGGAUAACCUACCUAUAAGACUGGGAUAACUUCGGGAAACCGGAGCUAAUACCGGAUAAUAUAUUGAACCGCAUGGUUCAAUAGUGAAAGACGGUUUUGCUGUCACUUAUAGAUGGAUCCGCGCCGCAUUAGCUAGUUGGUAAGGUAACGGCUUACCAAGGCAACGAUGCGUAGCCGACCUGAGAGGGUGGUCGGCCACACUGGAACUGAGACACGGUCCAGACUCCUACGGGAGGCAGCAGUAGGGAAUCUUCCGCAAUGGGCGAAAGCCUGACGGAGCAACGCCGCGUGAGUGAUGAAGGUCUUCGGAUCGUAAAACUCUGUUAUUAGGGAAGAACAAAUGUGUAAGUAACUAUGCACGUCUUGACGGUACCUAAUCAGAAAGCCACGGCUAACUACGUG
RNAcentral lists this ribosomal RNA (496 nucleotides) under uncultured bacterium. Its description in RNAcentral is "partial 16S ribosomal RNA". It matches the Rfam family "Bacterial small subunit ribosomal RNA", at positions 29 to 507 of the family's 1533-position model. The record is from RNAcentral.